Molecule: long non-coding RNA, 459 nt
Organism: Mauremys reevesii (Reeves's turtle)
Lineage: Eukaryota; Metazoa; Chordata; Testudines; Geoemydidae
Exons: 3
Source: RefSeq, a predicted model, not a curated record
GGGCAUUGUCUGAAGGGGUCAGAGGGAGACUCAGUUUUCAGAGGAGAAGCCAGAAGAAGAAUCCUGGACACCCAAGAUGACUCUGACCUAAGCCCAAAGAACAUUCAAGAUUGGAAACAAUGCUCUGUCAUGACCAAGCAGACAAGGAAUGAUGCUGCUACACAGAAAUUAUUACCAUUGCUAAAGAGGAGCAGAAUCUGUCUUGAUAUAAAAGCUUCCCGAUUCCUAAGGAAAUAAGCUGCAUAUAUCACUAAGUACAUAUUAUAGAAAGAUGGAGAGCUGGGCAGGCAACUUGCCAAUGACAGUGGGUAGAAAAGAAACAUCCUUGCCAAUAACGAGACAGAUGUUUAGAAGAAGAAAAAAUCACUGCAAGUUGCAUCCCUAGUAGAGCCACUGAGAAGCAGCAAUCCAGUUCUUAGAAAUAUAGCACUCACUAGGAAAUGAUGCUCACCACCAAUU